GAUGAACGCUGGCGGCGUGCCUAAUACAUGCAAGUCGAGCGAACAGACGAGGAGCUUGCUCCUCUGACGUUAGCGGCGGACGGGUGAGUAACACGUGGAUAACCUACCUAUAAGACUGGGAUAACUUCGGGAAACCGGAGCUAAUACCGGAUAAUAUAUUGAACCGCAUGGUUCAAUAGUGAAAGACGGUUUUGCUGUCACUUAUAGAUGGAUCCGCGCCGCAUUAGCUAGUUGGUAAGGUAACGGCUUACCAAGGCAACGAUGCGUAGCCGACCUGAGAGGGUGAUCGGCCACACUGGAACUGAGACACGGUCCAGACUCCUACGGGAGGCAGCAGCAGGGAAUCUUCCGCAAUGGGCGAAAGCCUGACGGAGCAACGCCGCGUGAGUGAUGAAGGUCUUCGGAUCGUAAAACUCUGCUAUUAGGGAAGAACAAAUGUGUAAGUAACUAUGCACGUCUUGACGGUACCUAAUCAGAAAGCCACGGCUAACUACGUG
This 497-nucleotide ribosomal RNA is filed under the name uncultured bacterium. RNAcentral describes it as "partial 16S ribosomal RNA". It matches the Rfam family "Bacterial small subunit ribosomal RNA", at positions 28 to 507 of the family's 1533-position model. The record is from RNAcentral.